Molecule: ribosomal RNA, 2894 nt
Filed under: Pseudomonas syringae
Lineage: Bacteria; Pseudomonadati; Pseudomonadota; Gammaproteobacteria; Pseudomonadales; Pseudomonadaceae
Also listed under: 3 other names
Description: 23S ribosomal RNA
Rfam family: Bacterial large subunit ribosomal RNA
Source: RNAcentral
GGUCAAGUGAAGAAGCGCAUACGGUGGAUGCCUUGGCAGUCAGAGGCGAUGAAAGACGUGGUAGCCUGCGAAAAGCUUCGGGGAGUCGGCAAACAGACUGUGAUCCGGAGAUAUCUGAAUGGGGGAACCCAGCCAUCAUAAGAUGGUUAUCUUGUACUGAAUACAUAGGUGCAAGAGGCGAACCAGGGGAACUGAAACAUCUAAGUACCCUGAGGAAAAGAAAUCAACCGAGAUUCCCUUAGUAGUGGCGAGCGAACGGGGACCAGCCCUUAAGUUGUAUUGAGAUUAGCGGAACGUUCUGGAAAGGACGGCCAUAGUGGGUGAUAGCCCUGUACGCGAAAAUCCCUUUGCAAUGAAAUCGAGUAGGACGGGGCACGAGAAACCUUGUCUGAAUAUGGGGGGACCAUCCUCCAAGGCUAAAUACUACUGACUGACCGAUAGUGAACCAGUACCGUGAGGGAAAGGCGAAAAGAACCGCGGAGAGCGGAGUGAAAUAGAUCCUGAAACCGUAUGCGUACAAGCAGUGGGAGCCCACUUUGUUGGGUGACUGCGUACCUUUUGUAUAAUGGGUCAGCGACUUAUUUUCAGUGGCGAGCUUAACCGAAUAGGGGAGGCGUAGCGAAAGCGAGUCUUAAUAGGGCGUCUAGUCGCUGGGAAUAGACCCGAAACCGGGCGAUCUAUCCAUGGGCAGGUUGAAGGUUGGGUAACACUAACUGGAGGACCGAACCGACUACCGUUGAAAAGUUAGCGGAUGACCUGUGGAUCGGAGUGAAAGGCUAAUCAAGCUCGGAGAUAGCUGGUUCUCCUCGAAAGCUAUUUAGGUAGCGCCUCAUGUAUCACUGUAGGGGGUAGAGCACUGUUUCGGCUAGGGGGUCAUCCCGACUUACCAAACCGAUGCAAACUCCGAAUACCUACAAGUGCCGAGCAUGGGAGACACACGGCGGGUGCUAACGUCCGUCGUGAAAAGGGAAACAACCCAGACCGUCAGCUAAGGUCCCAAAGUCAUGGUUAAGUGGGAAACGAUGUGGGAAGGCUUAGACAGCUAGGAGGUUGGCUUAGAAGCAGCCACCCUUUAAAGAAAGCGUAAUAGCUCACUAGUCGAGUCGGCCUGCGCGGAAGAUGUAACGGGGCUCAAACCAUGCACCGAAGCUACGGGUAUCAUCUUUUGAUGAUGCGGUAGAGGAGCGUUCUGUAAGCCUGUGAAGGUGAGUUGAGAAGCUUGCUGGAGGUAUCAGAAGUGCGAAUGCUGACAUGAGUAACGACAAUGGGUGUGAAAAACACCCACGCCGAAAGACCAAGGUUUCCUGCGCAACGUUAAUCGACGCAGGGUUAGUCGGUCCCUAAGGCGAGGCUGAAAAGCGUAGUCGAUGGAAAACAGGUUAAUAUUCCUGUACUUCUGGUUAUUGCGAUGGAGGGACGGAGAAGGCUAGGCCAGCCUGGCGUUGGUAGUCCAGGUUUAAGGUGGUAGGCUGAGAUCUUAGGUAAAUCCGGGAUCUUAAGGCCGAGAGCUGAUGACGAGUGUUCUUUUAGAACACGAAGUGGUUGAUGCCAUGCUUCCAAGAAAAGCUUCUAAGCUUCAGGUAACCAGGAACCGUACCCCAAACCGACACAGGUGGUUGGGUAGAGAAUACCAAGGCGCUUGAGAGAACUCGGGUGAAGGAACUAGGCAAAAUGGCACCGUAACUUCGGGAGAAGGUGCGCCGGUGGAGGUGAAGCAUUUACUGCGUAAGCCCCUGCCGGUCGAAGAUACCAGGCCGCUGCGACUGUUUAUUAAAAACACAGCACUCUGCAAACACGAAAGUGGACGUAUAGGGUGUGACGCCUGCCCGGUGCCGGAAGGUUAAUUGAUGGGGUUAGCGCAAGCGAAGCUCUUGAUCGAAGCCCCGGUAAACGGCGGCCGUAACUAUAACGGUCCUAAGGUAGCGAAAUUCCUUGUCGGGUAAGUUCCGACCUGCACGAAUGGCGUAACGAUGGCGGCGCUGUCUCCACCCGAGACUCAGUGAAAUUGAAAUCGCUGUGAAGAUGCAGUGUAUCCGCGGCUAGACGGAAAGACCCCGUGAACCUUUACUAUAGCUUUGCACUGGACUUUGAAUUUGCUUGUGUAGGAUAGGUGGGAGGCUUUGAAGCGUGGACGCCAGUCUGCGUGGAGCCAACCUUGAAAUACCACCCUGGCAACUUUGAGGUUCUAACUCAGGUCCGUUAUCCGGAUCGAGGACAGUGUAUGGUGGGUAGUUUGACUGGGGCGGUCUCCUCCUAAAGAGUAACGGAGGAGUACGAAGGUGCGCUCAGACCGGUCGGAAAUCGGUCGUAGAGUAUAAAGGCAAAAGCGCGCUUGACUGCGAGACAGACACGUCGAGCAGGUACGAAAGUAGGUCUUAGUGAUCCGGUGGUUCUGUAUGGAAGGGCCAUCGCUCAACGGAUAAAAGGUACUCCGGGGAUAACAGGCUGAUACCGCCCAAGAGUUCAUAUCGACGGCGGUGUUUGGCACCUCGAUGUCGGCUCAUCACAUCCUGGGGCUGAAGCCGGUCCCAAGGGUAUGGCUGUUCGCCAUUUAAAGUGGUACGCGAGCUGGGUUUAGAACGUCGUGAGACAGUUCGGUCCCUAUCUGCCGUGGACGUUUGAGAUUUGAGAGGGGCUGCUCCUAGUACGAGAGGACCGGAGUGGACGAACCUCUGGUGUUCCGGUUGUCACGCCAGUGGCAUUGCCGGGUAGCUAUGUUCGGAAAAGAUAACCGCUGAAAGCAUCUAAGCGGGAAACUUGCCUCAAGAUGAGAUCUCACUGGAACCUUGAGUUCCCUAAAGGGCCGUCGAAGACUACGACGUUGAUAGGUUGGGUGUGUAAGCGCUGUGAGGCGUUGAGCUAACCAAUACUAAUUGCCCGUGAGGCUUGACCAU